Molecule: ribosomal RNA, 403 nt
Filed under: bacterium
Lineage: Bacteria
Description: partial 16S ribosomal RNA
Rfam family: Bacterial small subunit ribosomal RNA
Source: RNAcentral
UGGGGAAUAUUGCACAAUGGGGGAAACCCUGAUGCAGCGACGCCGCGUGAACGAAGAAGGUAUUCGUAUCGUAAAGUUCUGUCCUAUGGGAAGAUAAUGACAGUACCAUAGAAGAAAGCUCCGGCUAAAUACGUACCAGCAGCCGCGGUAAUACGUAUGGAGCGAGCGUUGUCCGGAAUUAUUGGGCGUAAAGGGUACGCAGGCGGUUUAAUAAGUCGAAUGUUAAAGAUCGGGGCUCAACCCCGCAAAGCAUUGGAAACUGAUAAACUUGAGUAGUGGAGAGGAAAGUGGAAUUCCUAGUGUAGUGGUGAAAUACGUAGAUAUUAGGAGGAAUACCAGUAGCGAAGGCGACUUUCUGGACACAAACUGACGCUGAGGUACGAAAGCGUGGGGAGCAAACAGG